RNAcentral lists this long non-coding RNA (21264 nucleotides) under Olea europaea (common olive). RNAcentral's name for it is "long non-coding RNA (OEUR_LNC011746)". Lineage: Eukaryota; Viridiplantae; Streptophyta; Magnoliopsida; Lamiales; Oleaceae. The record is from RNAcentral.
UUUCCUUCUGUUUAUCAUAAACAGAUGGAUGAUACAUCAACUAAUCAGUACUGCAAGUUUGACAGCCAGAUUUUGACACUUUUUACAUCAUCCCUCUAUUUGGCUGCCCUUGUAGCGUCCUUUUUUGCAUCAACAAUGACCAAGAAAUUUGGCCGGAGAAAGUCGAUGAUGCUUGGUGGAAUAAUUUUCUUGGUUGGUGCCAUAAUCAAUGCUGCGGCAGUGCACAUCAGUAUGCUAAUCAUAGGCCGUGUUUUAUUGGGCAUUGGCGUCGGCUUUGCCAACCAGGUAACUUACUUAAUUUGUAUCGGAGUUUAUUCUUCUUGUUAAUGCAAAAGUUGGAAUAGAUCAUCUAAUUUCUGUUCGAUUCUGUUAAUUAUGCAGUCAGUGCCUCUUUAUCUAUCAGAGAUGUCCCCGUACAAUUAUCGUGGAACUUUUAAUGUUUGCUUCCAACUGAUGAUCACAAUUGGAAUUCUGGUAGCCAACCUGCUUAAUUAUUUCUCUGCCAAGAUUGAAGGUGGCUGGGGAUGGCGGCUCAGCCUUGGAUUGGCUGGAGUUCCUGCCAUCGUCAUCAUCAUUGCAUCUUUUUUCCUCUCCGACACCCCAAACUCUCUCAUGGAUAGGGGAAAGGAAGACGAGGCAAAAGCACUGCUCAAACGCAUUCGUGGAGUUGAAAACGUUGAUGCUGAAUUCAAUGAUAUUCUUGCAGCCAAGAAUGAAGCAAGACUAGUACAGAAUCCAUGGCAAAACAUCUUAAAGAGGCGGUGCUAUCGUCCACAGUUGGUUAUGUCCAUCUUGAUCCCUUUCUUCCAACAACUUACUGGAAUCAACGUGGUUAUGUUCUAUGCUCCUGUGCUCUUUAAAACCAUUGGAUUUGGAAGCGAUGCUUCUCUAAUGUCAGCUGUUAUUACUGGCAUCAUAAAUGCCUUGGCGACUUUAGUAUCUGUUGCAUUUGCUGAUAAAUGGGGCAGAAGAACUCUGUUUCUUGAAGGAGGUGUCCAAAUGCUUAUCUUUCAGGUCUAACAUUAACUGUUUUUGUAUACCACAUGCACUCAUAUUAAUUAUACAUGGUCAUAGCUAAUGUAAGCUUUUGCUGAUUCUUGACGAUACAGAUUGCAGUUGCAGCUCUUAUUGGGGCCAAAUUUGGUGUGACUGGAGAUGUGACGCAGCUACCAAAGUGGUUUGCCAUGGUGGUGGUGAUAGGCAUCUGCAUCUAUGUCGCUGGUUUCGCAUGGUCUUGGGGGCCAUUAGGAUGGCUUUAUCCAAGUGAGAUUUUCUCGUUGGAGGUCAGGUCGGCAGGGCAAAGUGUUAACGUGGCAGUAAACAUGUUCUUCACAUUCUUAAUAGCUCAGGCGUUCCUUUCGAUGUUGUGCACGAUGAAGUUUGGUCUCUUCAUCUUCUUCGCAUUCUUUGUGGCAGUGAUGACAGUCUUUUGUUACUUCUUCAUGCCUGAGACGAAGAACAUUCCUAUUGAAGAAAUGACACAAGUCUGGAGAGACCACUGGUUCUGGAAAAGAUAUAUGAAUGAUCCAAACGAUCCAGUCAAUAAAGCAUUGGAGCUAACAAGGAUGGAACAAGUCUGAUUUUGUUAAUUCAAUUCUUCUUUUUCCUUUUCAGUUCUUACUUUUUGUGUUAGAAAUUAUCAUUCCAAAACUGUAAAUUUUCGUGUAGUUUUCAAUAUCAGUAAAAUUACACCCUUUCAUUAUUCAUUGGGUUCUGCUUUACUAUAUUUUUGCUGACAUCUACUGAUUGAAAUUGUGAUCAUAUUAUGCUUCAUACAUGAAAUAGAUAUUCUAAAAUUUCAAAUGAUAUGGAGAUCUCCUUUCUAAUACAAACUGCUAAAUGUCAGCUUCUAUCAUCAAAAAGAAGUAAUAUGCCGCGACAUUAAUAUUUCAUUAAAUCAGCUAUAUCUUAUAGUGAAAACACACUUUUUGGAACUGAUGGUGAUUUCAAGAUUACCUUGAGAUUCACGAAGUUGAAACUGCUAGCAAAUUCUACAGUACUGUAACUUCAAAUCAUCAGGAGUCGGAACAACAUUUCUUGAGGCCGGAAAGAUUGGAAAGCAUCUUAAUCAUCAUCUUCUUCUUCUUCCUCUGAUUGAAUAAUUUUAAACUAAUUUUUUUUUUUUUUUUUUUCAAUUGUGCUGUAAUAAACUUGACGUGCAUUUGGCGAUGCACACUAAAAAUCUUUGUUAAACACUUUGAGAGUGUUCGAGUGCUUUGUCAUCAAACUUGUCAUUCCCCACAAAAUUUGCUGAACUCUCAUUCGUGAGUUUUUGAAAUAUAUACUACAUUUAUUAUGUAAAAUUUACUCGAGUUAACAAUUUACAAGACGGUGCAUUACUUUACUUUAAUCUCAAGACUCGAAAUUUAUUUGUUUAAUACAAACUAUUCCACAUUCGAAAUUUUAUUAAGUUGCAAACGCAAAAUGGGGCCAACCUUGCCCAUUGAGUGCUCUAUAUUGGGCAAUUGACAUCACAAACUAUUAAAAUAGUUUAACCGCAUUCUAACUAGUUUGAUGCUUUGUAUCGAUUUGGAACAACGAAGAGUUUGAUGGUGGCAUCACGCGAUAGAAUUCAGGGACACGAUCUAGAUUGGCAUGAAUUGAUGAUUUGAGGCGGGCUGCGUCUGUUAGCAUUGAGAGCAUGCUGUCCAGCAAAUUUCAAUACUCGGAUUAAGUGAAAAACAGGCCACAUGGAAGGUACAUGAUGGCAAUUUCGGGUGGUUUCUGCUGUAGGCUUGACAACGGGACAGUUUUGGGCAGUUUCUAGUAUUAAAGGGCUGAAAAUUUGGGAAAACUGACCCAGCAGUUGGGGAUGUCAAAUGUAAUCCUGAUUUUCAUCUAUAUAUUCUAAAUGUUGGUGCAUUUAGAUGAUAUAGAACAGUGAAUGUGUGUGAUGAGGCUACAAUGACUGUGUUGAUCCUUCACUUAUUUUUGUACUUGGUCAUUUUCUUUUUUUAUUAAUAUGGAGUAGGAAAAUGUUUCUCAAUAAUAUGUGUUUUACUUUAUUGUUUCGAUAAAUUCCAUUUUCUAGUCUUUACAUAGUUCAAUUUGUGUGUUUUAGAGAUCCGAAAGUGUUAAAUUUGUACGUUGGCUGGUUGGGGACAAGAAACCUCGAUGAUAUUGUUGGGUAAUUGCUUCAAAAGUCAAAGUUAGAGGACUUUUAUUGCAAAUAAUAAAAGGUAAUGAUUGUAUGGAAUACUUCUAAUUAAAAUUGAAAACAGAAUUCUCACAGAUUUUGGUCUCCAUUUUUAUAGUCGAUUUUGAAGUCUUACACAUAAAAGUAGUUAUGGCAAAAAAACUCGCCCCGCCCCGACCCGACCUGACGAGGCCCGUCCUGAAUGAGCCAAAAAAACUCGUCCUGAGCGGGUUAGCGGGGCAGGGCGCCCCGUUGCGGGGGGCGGGGGCGGGGGCGUGAAGGAAAAAAAAAUUAAAAUAAUUUUAUUUCUAAACAAUUCACCGGUUAAAAACUCAUUUGGAAUUUUUUAUUUUAUUCUCUAAUAAUAACAUAACUCGAAACUUUGAAAUGUUUGGGAUAGAUGGGCACCCCGAACCCACCCCAUUGCCAUCCCUAAAUAAAGGUUUCCUUAUUUGAGUUGAAAUUGAACUCUUUUACUUAAUAAUUGAUCAUACAAAUAGAGGAUGUAUUUAUUAUUUCAUGUUUGUGGCCUAAGAGUUGAUUCGAGAGAGAAAUAUUGCGAAUUUAGCAUCUUGAAAGUUUUCAUACAAAAAUUAGAAAAGUGAGUGUGGUAAAGCACGAGUUUAUUUUUCUUUGUAAUAUUUGGAGAUUUAGUUUGCGAGUGAAAUUUUAUAUAAUUGUAACAAUUUUCAUACAGUGAAAGGCUUUGACAGUCCGAUUAACUUGUGCGUCAUAUUCUUUUUUACUAAUAUUCUCUUGAACAUCAAAUGAUCAUACGAGUAAAUAAAAAUAAAAGGAAUUGGCGUAAAAUUCCCAACAGAUAUUGCAGAUUUGUUGGAAAAGCCCCAUGACACCCGGCAUGUUAUGCCUUUCUUUAUCAUAGUGUUUCAAAAAUCGAAUUGGAUCGACUAGUCUAGAUCGAUAAACUAUUUAAUCGGGCUUCGGUCUAGUUUGGUGAAACGGUUGAACCAAGUUACAUGGAAGCUACCCAACCACUGUUACCACUCUGCCACAUUGGUUCCUAUUGUUAUAGAGCUUGUCAAAAAAGUGUUUAUAAAGGGUUUUGUAACGCCCCAAAAAUUUUGGAAUAAAAAUAUAUUUGUCUUAUAUAUUAUAGUUUUAAAAUUUGAGGAUUGAAAUGAAAUAGCGUUUAAAGUCAUAUUUUAUUUGGCACCAAUAAUUACAUUUUGAUAGAAUGAGUAUAAGUAUAUCAAUAUUGGGCUCAUUUUGUAUCUCGCAUUUAAUAACGUAUUUUCAGCUCAAGAAAAUAUGAGUUCUUUUAAGUUAAAACUAAGUUAUUUCAAUUCAAAGAAACAUAGAUAAUAAGCAUCGUUUUUAUUAUUUAACAAUAUUUCUUUUAAAAUAAUUAGGAAAAGAAGCUAGUAUUUUAUCAUAAUAAUCAAUGUUUAUCUUUUCUAUUAGAGAAAGAGAUUUAAUUAUUUUUAAUCCUUGUUUACAUUUAUCUGCCAAUAUUUUUGAUUUUCUGGUACUCGUGAUUUAAGUAGUUUACAAAGUAAUAUGUAGGGAGAGAUAUUUUUAGUUAACUAUGAUUGAUUGAUGUUUGGAUAAAAUAAUUUUCUCUUUGAUUAAAAAUUCAUUUGUUUUGAUUUGGAAUCCUACUUAGAAUAUUGAUUUAAUAUUUAUGACUUUUUGACCAUUCUAAGAUGACACACGUUUUUAGGCCUAGCUUUGAAUGAAUUGGUUAUUAUAUAAUAAUAUUUUUGGACAAUCUCUAGCCUCUAGGCAUGAUGCAUGGCAAUCAUACCUUGUACUCUCAAUUGUGUCAAUUGCCUUUAAAUUAGAAUUGGUAAAUUUCCUUAUGAUAAGAGUAUGGGUAGCCACACGUGCAUGCACAUUUCCAACUCUCAAUUAGGAUAAAGGCUAAUUUUAAUUGCUAAUUGAAUUUGAAUAAUGGUAAGACACGAUUUGGGGCCUCUAACAAAUUUAGUUAUUUUGGGCAUAUAGUCCAAUUAAGCUUAUAAUAUACUAUUUAAUUAUUUAUUUCAUUUUAUAUGAUGAUAUGAUAACCUGUCAUUUUAUGUAAAUUGACACUAACUUGACCAUUCUUAUGUUAAAUAGAUCCUAAUUAAUUUAAUUUGAUUGAUAUCCAAACAAAGAGUUUUUGUAAUUGGACAGAUUAAUGAGCUAAUUGACGAGAUUUCUGUUGGUUAGAUUGCAUAAUUACCCUUUAUAUAUUUUUAACAAAUUUGGCAGUCAAAACCUUUCUUAAUUUUACACCUCCCUUACACUAUAAAUUCAUUCCAAAUCCUCGAAAAUUUAUGAGAUACAAAACCACUCUCUUCCAUCUUCACUUAACUCUCCACUGCCUGUCCAAGUCUCCAUUCCAGAAGUGUUCUCUUUGUAUUGUCGGAAACGGGUUUUAAUACUCUUAGAAAGGAUUUUGGCACGUGGAAUUACCACUGGAUCGACCUUAAAUCCACAAGACACGACAACAACAAAAAGGUUUUGGGAACGUGAAUUCCUUACUUUUCUAUUAUCAAUCGAGGUAGGAUACUUUAUGUGCAAGUUGUUCUGUCCUUUCAAUAUUAUGGUUUUUGACGUGAUUUAUUUCAUGAAAUGCUAAUCGACCUACGGGUCCAAUGAAAUGAAAUGAAAUGUUCGACUAAGAUGACACACGUUUUUAGGCCUAGCUUUGAAUGAAUUGGUUAUUAUAUAAUAAUAUUUUUGGACAAUCUCUAGCCUCUAGGCAUGAUGCAUGGCAAUCAUACCUUGUACUCUCAAUUGUGUCAAUUGCCUUUAAAUUAGAAUUGGUAAAUUUCCUUAUGAUAAGAGUAUGGGUAGCCACACGUGCACGCACAUUUCCAACUCUCAAUUAGGAUAAAGGCUAAUUUUAAUUGCUAAUUGAAUUUGAAUAAUGGUAAGACACGAUUUGGGGCCUCUAACAAAUUUAGUUAUUUUGGGCAUAUAGUACAAUUAAGCUUAUAAUAUACUAUUUAAUUAUUUAUUUCAUUUUAUAUGAUGAUAUGAUAACCUGUCAUUUUAUGUAAAUUGACACUAACUUGACCAUUCUUAUGUUAAAUAGAUCCUAAUUAAUUUAAUUUGAUUGAUAUCCAAACAAAGAGUUUUUGUAAUUGGACAGAUUAAUGAGCUAAUUGACGAGAUUUCUGUUGGUUAAAUUGCAUAAUUACCCUUUAUAUAUUUUUAACAAAUUUGGCAGUCAAAACCUUUCUUAAUUUUACACCUCCCUUACACUAUAAAUUCAUUCCAAAUCCUCGAAAAUUUAUGAGAUAAAAAUCACUCUCUUCCAUCUUCACUUAACUCUCCACUGCCUGUCCAAGCCUCCAUUCCAUAAGUGUUCUCUUUGUAUUGUCAGAAACGGGUUUUAAUACUCUUAGAAAGGAUUUUGGCACGUGGAAUUGCCACUGGAUCGACCUUAAAUCCACAAGACACGACAACAGCAAAAAGGUUUUGGGAACGUGAAUUCCUUACUUUUCUAUUAUCAAUCGAGGUAGAAUACUUUAUGUGCAAGUUGUUCUGUCCUUUCAAUAUUAUAAUUUUUGACGUGAUUUAUUUCAUGAAAUGCUAAUCGACCUGUGGGUCCAAUGAAAUGAAAUGAAAUGUUCAACCUGCGGGGCUCUAUGAAAUGAAAUGAAAUGUUCGACCUGCGGUUCCCUACGAAAUGAAAUGAAAUGUGAGAUCGCCUUCGGGUCUUCUCAAAUUGUAUUAGAGCUUUCGACUGAUCACCGAUUGCUCUUGACGAAAUGUUGGUAUUAAAUGUUACGAGUUUACGUUUUAAAUUAUUAUAUUGUUUGGACGCACGUAUCCUACUGAGUGUAAUUACUCACUCCUUCAAUUUCAAUAUUUCAGAUCAGUACGGUCAACGUGGAUGGUAGCUGAGCGGUGCGCGGGUUGCCAAGUAAAGAAAAACUUCGCAAGAAAACGUUUUAAAAUAAUUCUGUUAGGAUUAUGUGCUUCAAUUUAAUUCUGUCUAAUGUUCUAUGUUUACGCGACAUUUUGUUUAUUCAAUUUGGUAUUUGAGUAUUAAAUAAAUCAAGAGUUUUAAAUUUCGAAUUAAAUAUUUUCGCUUUACGUAUGUGAUACGAAAUGAUAUUGGUAACACCUCAAAUUUUAAGUCGAUAAAAAUUUAGGGCGUUACAGGUUUUGUUUAUAAUAGCUAGAAAUGCAUGAUAGAUAAAUGUAGUACUUUUAAUAUCACGAAAUAUGUGAAUAAGAAUUGGUUUAACCUUUUUUGCCAUUUAUAAACUGUUUAUUAAAAUUAAAACUUGCCAAAUAUGGCUAUAAUUUUCACAUAUUAUGUUUAUUUUUGUUUUAAAAAAAGGAAAAAAAAAAGUUAUUUUCCUUUAAUCACAUUUUGAAAAAUUAUAAAUUAAAGACGAACUUUGAAAGAGAACCAAAAGCUAUAAAAAAAAAUAAUAAUAGUAAUAAAUAAAAGUUGCAAUCAGGAAAUACAAAAGUUAGAAGAAUUAUUAGUUGUAAUUACUAUCAAAUUACUGUUUUAACUGAUCCAUUCAUCUUAUUUUUGUUAAAAGAUAUAACUUAUUUAAACUAGGUGAUCCACCAACCAAGUGCAUUUCUUGAGUCAAUUACCCGUUCGGAUUUAAACUUUGACACUAUUAUUUUGAAAAAUCCCUACUUAUCAUUCUUUAUAUAAUUGAUUAUGAUAAUCGAAGGAGAUACAUUUUGAAUAUUUAAGCGUUCGUUUGAAUACAAAUUUAUAAAUGGUUUAUAAAUUUAGUCAAAAUUAAAUAUUAAAUGUAACUACACGUUUAUAAUUAUUACUAAUUAUUAUCCAUAUAUUAUGUGCAACGCACUACUAUUUCUGUUAAUAAUUUAGUUUAUAAAUAAUUUGUGAAUUUACCAAUCCGAGCUAAAAUUUUGAGAAGUGGAACAAUUAUUGUAUUAUUUGUUGAACUCCUCGUAAACUAAUAAGCCAUUAACAUUAGGAUUUAAAUAUAAUAUUAUCUGAAAUAAUAAAAGUAAAAUAGAACAUUACUCUUUCCAAAUUAGAUUUGAGAGAAAUUAAUGAUUUAUAUUAAAUACAUUCAAAAGGAUUGGCGUUCUCUUAUGGAAACAAAAAUAGUUUCGGAAAGCAGCAACGGAUCAAUUACCUUAAAUGGUUAAAUUCUUGUUGGACCAGGAUUUGGAUAAACACCAAAAAAUAGGAAUCCCAGUCAUGUUCAUGUCGGAAUUCCAGUGUCUCUCUGUGUUAUACUCCUAAACAAAAUAGCCUUUUUCACCACUCAGGUCUCUAUAUAUACCAACGCAAUUUCGAGUUUUCAACACAAAUUAAUCUUUGCUUUCUCUUUGUUUGUCUGUGUUCUGCAUUCUGAGAUGGGUGGUGUUGCUAUUGCGGUUAGCCGGGGCGGCAGUGGUGAUGAUCCUACUAAGUACCCUGGAAAACUCACAUGGUAUGUGGUAAUAACAUUAAUGGCUGCAGCCAUGGGAGGAUUGAUCUUUGGAUACGAUAUUGGAAUAUCAGGUAUAAAAUUUGGCCUUGUGAUUCUUUGUCAUGGUUUUGAUUAUUCAAGAAGAGUUCUGGUUCAUGUUUCUUGGUUUUCUUGAUGCAGGUGGAGUUACUUCCAUGGCGCCUUUUCUGAAGAAAUUCUUUCCAUCUGUUUACCAUAAACAGAUGGAUGAUACAUCAACUAAUCAAUACUGCAAGUUUGACAGCCAGAUAUUGACACUUUUUACAUCAUCCCUCUAUUUGGCUGCCCUUGUAGCGUCCUUUUUUGCAUCAACAAUGACCAAGAAAUUUGGCCGGAGAAAGUCGAUGAUGCUUGGUGGAAUAAUUUUCUUGGUUGGUGCCAUAAUCAAUGCUGCGGCAGUGCACGUCAGUAUGCUAAUCAUAGGCCGUGUUUUAUUGGGCAUUGGCGUCGGCUUUGCCAACCAGGUAACUUACUUGAUUUGUAUCGGAGUAUAUUCUUCUUGUUAAUGUAAAAGUUGGAAUAGAUCAUCUAAUUUCUGUUCGAUUCUAUUAAUUAUGCAGUCAGUGCCUCUUUAUCUAUCAGAGAUGUCCCCGUACAAUUAUCGUGGAACUUUUAAUGUUUGCUUCCAACUGAUGAUCACAAUUGGAAUUCUGGUAGCCAACCUGCUUAAUUAUUUCUCUGCCAAGAUUGAAGGUGGCUGGGGAUGGCGGCUCAGCCUUGGAUUGGCUGGAGUUCCUGCCAUCGUCAUCAUCAUUGCAUCUUUUUUCCUCUCCGACACCCCAAACUCUCUCAUGGAUAGGGGAAAGGAAGACGAGGCAAAAGCACUGCUCAAACGCAUUCGUGGAGUUGAAAACGUUGAUGCUGAAUUCAAUGAUAUUCUUGCAGCCAAGAAUGAAGCAAGACUAGUACAGAAUCCAUGGCAAAAUAUCUUUAAAAGGCUGUGCUAUCGUCCACAGUUGGUUAUGUCCAUCUUGAUCCCUUUCUUCCAACAACUUACUGGAAUCAACAUGGUUAUGUUCUAUGCUCCUGUGCUCUUUAAAACCAUUGGAUUUGGAAGCAAUGCUUCUCUAAUGUCAGCUGUUAUUACUGGCAUCAUAAAUGCCUUGGCGACUUUAGUAUCUGUUGCAUUUGCUGAUAAGUGGGGCAGAAGAACUCUGUUUCUUGAAGGAGGUGUCCAAAUGCUUAUCUUUCAGGUCUAACAUUAACUGUUUUUCUAAACCACAUGCUCUCAUAUUAUUUAUACGUGGUCAUAGCUAAUGUAACCUUUUGCUGAUUCUUGACGAUACAGAUUGCAGUUGCAGCUCUUAUUGGGGCCAAAUUUGGUGUGACGGGAGAUGUGACGCAGCUACCAAAGUGGUUUGCCAUGGUGGUGGUGAUAGGCAUCUGCAUCUAUGUUGCUGGUUUCGCAUGGUCUUGGGGGCCGUUAGGCUGGCUUUAUCCAAGUGAGAUUUUCUCGUUGGAGGUCAGGUCGGCAGGGCAAAGUAUUAAUGUGGCAGUAAACAUGUUCUUCACAUUCUUAAUAGCUCAGGCGUUCCUUUCGAUGUUGUGCACGAUGAAGUUUGGUCUCUUCAUCUUCUUCGCAUUCUUUGUGGCAGUGAUGACAGUCUUUUGUUACUUCUUCAUGCCUGAGACGAAGAACAUUCCUAUUGAAGAAAUGACACAAGUCUGGAGAGACCACUGGUUCUGGAAAAGAUAUAUGAAUGAUCCCAACGAUCCUGUCAAUAAAGCAUUGGAGCUAACAAGGAUGGAACAAGUCUGAUUUUGUUAAUUCAAUUCUUCUUUUGCUUUUUCAGUUCUUACUUUAUGUGUUAGAAAUUAUCAUUCCAAAACUGUAAAUUUUUGUAUAGUUUUUAAUAUUAGUAAAAUUCCACACUUUCAUUAUUCAUUGGGUUCUGCUUUACUAUAUUUUUGCUGAUAUCUACUGAUUGAAAUUGUGAUCAUAUGAUGCUUCAUUCCGAGUAUAGUUUUGUACUUAUACAUGAAAUAGAUAUUCCAAAAUUUCAAAUAAUAAGGGGAUCUCCUUUCUAAUACAAACUGCUAAAUGUCAGCUUCUAUCAUCAAAAAUAAUUAAUAGGCCGUGACAUUAAUAUUUCAUUAAAUCAGCUAUAUCUUAUGGUGAAAACGCACUUUCUGAAACUGAGGAUGAUUUAUAGAUUACCUUGAGAUUCAUGAAGUUGAAAAUGCUAGCAAAUUCUACAGUACUUUAACUUCAAACCAUCAGGAGUCGAACAACAGUUCUUGAGGCCGGAAAGAUUGGAAAGCAUCUUAAUCAUCAUCUUCUUCUUCCUCUGAUUGAGUCAUUUUAAACUAAAGUCUUUUUUUUGUCAAUUGUGCAGUAAUACACGUGCAGUAAUUUGGCGAUGCACACGAAAAAUCGUUGUUAAAACACUUUCAGUGUGUUCGAGUAUUUUGUCAUCAAACUUGUCAUUCCCCACAAAAUUUGCUGAACUCUCAUUCGUGAGUUUUUGAAAUAAAUACUACAUUUAGUAUGUAAAAUUUACUCGAGUAAGAAUUUACAAGACGAUGCAUUACUUUACUUUAAUCUCAAGACUCGAAAUUUAUUUGUUUGAUUAAGUUGUUGGAAAAUUGGAAUAAUUAGAUUGUUUGACCAACUUUUGAUCAAUCAUUUAAGUGGGUUCCGUUAGUUGGAUAAAUGAUUUAUUUGGCCAAGUGCAUUCUACUCCAUGAGUAGAAUUGAUAUAUGUAUUUAUUUCUCAAAACUAAUUAAAGUUGAAUGAGAAAUUAAAGUCAAAAGAUGACCACUUGAAGUUGAAAUAAAUUGGGAAUAAAGAUUGGUGGAAAAUUGGAAAGUGCCAAUCCCACAUAGGAUAUAAACAACUUUAUAUAACUUAAGUUAAGGACUAGUCUUUAGAGGGGAGAGGACCUACAUGCUAGUAAAUUCAACUAAAGCCCGCACGCGCACGCCGUCGCCGUCCGUCCGAACAGCCGGCUCGGCCCGAGUCAAAGUCGGGGGUUUGGGUCAGUUGGUAUAUAUAUUUUUGGUAAAAUAAUUAAAUAAUAUUUUUUAUUAUAUUAUUUAUUUUUUCUUUCCCGAAUUUUCUAUGCGGGACACGUGGAUUCUUCUAGAAGCUGGCGAUUGGUGACAAUUUUAACUGCCUGUCCAAAUGGAUUAUGUCUAUUCCAAAACACAACAUUUCGGCUAUUGUGUUUUUUGGGCACAACCUUUCAACUUCUAUAAAUAGACCCCAGAUCCCCGAUUUUAUUCACUCCAGAAAAUUUAUUCUACUUCACUUAUCCUACAAUAUUGUCCUUCCGUCCUGCAAUAUUCCAUACAUUUACAUUUCAGUCCCAAAUAAUAUUUUCGUGCAUUUUAGUCCUCCGAUUCUCAAGAGAUCAAAUAUUAGUAGGUUCGUCGGGUCUUGUAAUUUGGAGUGCUGCUAUUACAAGUCGAGGUCAUUGUAUCUUGGGAGGCGAGUGCCAGGAGACUGUCAGCACCAGUGCGGGGCAUUUUCGUCUCAAGGAGAAAGAGUCGAACUCUUACCUCGACCAUUAUUCAUUCUAAUUUAUUGCGCUAAUUUUGUAAGUCGAAAUUCUACCCGAAUAUUUAUUCGCUAUCUAAAUUACCGCACAACAUUUUUGAAGAUUUUCAACAAUCUUAAGAAGAAAUUUUUUUUUAUUUACGUGCUAAUUUAUAUUCUAAAAAUUUGUUAGAUUAUGGCAAGUAACAACACAUCCGUCGUACCCUCAAACAAUGCUCACGGGGAGAAACCAGAAAAAUUCACAGGAGUGGAUUUUAAAAGAUGGCAAUAGAAAAUGAUGUUUUAUUUCACAACUCUAAAUUUAGCAAAAUUCUUGAGUGAAGAUGCUCCAACUGUUGAGGAGGAAGAAUAAGAUUCUAAAAAAUGAGCAGCAUUCGAUGCAUGGAGUCAUAGUGACUUCUUGUGUAAGAACUAUAUCCUCAACUGUCUUGACAACACACUAUACAGCGUAUACAGUUCAGUCAAGACAACUAAGUUACUGUGGGAAUCAUUGGAAAAGAAGUACAAAAUGGAAGAUACCAGAUUAAAGAAAUUCGUUGUGGGCAAAUUCCGAGAUUUCAAGAUAAUAGAUUCGAAAACAAUGAUGAAUCAAAUCCAAGAGCUGCAAAUCAUCUUGCAUGACAUACAUGCAAAAGGUAUGAAGCUCAGUGAGUCAUUUUAGGUCACCGCUAUUAUUGAGAAAUUACCUCCAAUGUGGAAAGAUUUCAAGAACUACCUGAAACAUAACAUAAGGAAAUGAGAUUUGAAGAUCUGAUUGUAAGAUUAAGAAUUGAGGAAGAUAAUUGAAAUUCUGAGAAGAAGUCUGGAAAGUUGCAUAUGGAGGCUAAAGCCAAUUUCGUGGAGUCAAAUACUAACAAGAAAAGAAAACACUUAGAUAAUGACAAGCAAAAAAAAAACAAGACUAAUAAAUUCAAAGGAGAUUGUUAUAACUGCGGUAAGCCUGGUCACUUCACAAAGGAUUGUCGACAGAAAAAAGCAAAAUAAAAAGGACCAAAUACACUUGACCGAGGAAGACAAAUUGUCUAACGGUGUGUCUGAACUAAUGCUUUCAGCUGUUGUAUUUGAAGCAAACAUGGUGGACAAUUCAAGAGAAUGGUUCGUAGACACAGGCGCUACUCAACAUGUUUGCGCCGAUAAGGAGAUGUUUUCAUGUUAUACUCCUAUCAAUGGACGACAAUUAUUUACGGGAAACUCGGCAACAUCCAAAAUUGUUGGUCUAGGUAAAGUAGUGCUGAAGAUGACAUCAGAAAAAGAAGUAACUCUCGUCGAUGUGUUGCAUGUUCCUGAUAUUAGCAAAAACUUGGUAUCUGGAGUUUUGUUAAGAAAAAAUGGGUUUAGGCUAAUAUUUGAGUCUGAUAAGUUUAUACUUACCAAAAGUGGCAUGUUUGUGGGCAAGGGGUACUUAGCCAAUGGGCUAUUCAAAAUGAAUGUAAUGCCUAUACUUCGUGAUUUUGAUAUUAAUAAAAAUAAAUUUUCUGCUUACUUUAUUGAAUCCUCUAACUUAUGGAAUGAUAGAUUAGGACAUGUUAAUAUUAAAACUUUACGUAAAUUAGUAAGUUUAAAUCUAUUGCCUUCAAUUUCAUUUCAUCAAUAUCAUUGAUGCGAAACUUGUGUAGAGGCUAAAUUAGCUAAAACACCAUUUCAUUCAGUUGAAAGGAACUCAAAUCCUCUAGAACUCAUUUAUAGUGAUAUCUGUGACUUAAAGUUCAUACAAACUAGAGGAGGAAAAAAAUAUUUUAUUACUCUUAUAGAUGACUGCACUAUGUACUGUUAUGUAUAUUUGCUAAGAAGCAAAGAUGGGGCCUUAGAAGUGUUUAAACAGUACAAGAAUGAGGUUGAAAAUCAACUUAGCAAAUGAAUGAAAGUUAUUCGUAGUGACAGAGGUGGAGAAUAUGGGGCAUCGUUUGAAGAAUUUUGUUCUGUUGGGAUUAUUCAUCAAACUACAGCACCUCGGUCAAAUGGUAUUACUGAACGCAAAAAUCGUACUCUUAAAGAGAUGAUGAACACUAUGUUAAUCAGUUCUCGUUUACCUUAGAACUUGUGGGGGGAAGCAAUUCUCUCAACAAACCACAUUCUAAAUAAAUUACCACACAAAAGUAAGAACGAAACUCCUUAUGAGUUAUGAAAAUGUCAUAAACCUUCGUACAAAUACUUAAAAGUGUGGGCGUAUUUGGCUAAUGUAGAAGUACCAAAACCUAAACAAGUUAAAAACCUAAAUAAGUUAAAAUAGGGAAAAAAACCAUCGAUUGUGUAUUUAUUGGAUAAGCCAAUAAUAGUAUUGUGUAUCGAUUCCUCGUACAUAAGUCUGACAUUCCAGACAUACAUGAAAGUACUAUUAUUGAAGCAAGGAAUGAUGUAUAUUUUGAGGACAUUUUUCCUUGUAAGGAUAGGAAAGAAAUUAGUUCACAAAAACAAACUUAUGAUACUAUAAUUGGUAAUCAUCAAAGUGAUGAAUAACCCAGACAUAGUAAAAAAUCCAAAACAGCUACAUCCUUUGGUCUAGAUUUUCUAACUUAUUUGUUAGAAAAUGAACCUAUGUCAAGUCCAGAAGCUCCAUUCUGGAAAGAGGUCAUCAAUAGUGAAAUUGAUUCUGUUAUGCAGAAUCAUACAUGGGAGAUGAUGGAUCUCCUACCAAAUAACAAACUGUUAGGUUGCAAAUGGAUUUUCAAAAGAAAAUUAAAAAUUAGUGGAUCAAUUGAUAAAUAUAAGGCCAGAUUAGUAGCUAAAGGAUUCAAACAAAAAGAAGGUCCUGAUUUUUUCGACACAUACUCUCUCGUAACAAGAAUAACGUCUAUUAAAGUAUUAAUUGCAAUCACAGCAUUGCAUAAUAUGGAGAUCCAUCAGAUGGACGUUAAAAUAGCCUUCUUAAAUGGAGAGCUAGACAAAGAAAUUUACAUGGAAUAACUUGAGGGGUUCACUGCUCUUGACAGGAGAAAAAGAUGUGUAGACUCGUUAAGUCACUAUACGGACUAAAGCAAGUACCAAAAUAGUGGCAUGAAAAAUUUGACAAAACUAUGUUGUGAAAUGGCUUUAAGAUUAACGAAUGUGAUAAAUGUGUUUAUAUUAAAACCACACCCAGUGCAUAUUUAAUUGUAUGUCUCUAUGUUGAUGACAUGCUAAUAAUGAGUAAUAAUCUUGAUAUCAUAAUAACUACCAAAAAAAGUUGACAAAAUAUUUUGACAUGAAAGAUAUGGAUAUUGCAGAUGUAAUAUUAUGAAUAAAAAUCCUUAAGACAUCUGAGGGACUUGUUCUAUCUCAAUCUCACUAUAUUGAGACUGUGCUUAAGAAAUUUUAUGUAUAUGAUGAAAGUUCAGUUAAAACUCCAGUAGACUUAAAUCUACAUUUGGCCAAACAUAAAGGCAAGCCCGUAUCUCAGUUGGAGUACUCUCGAAUAAUAGGUAGUCUAAUGUAUAUUACCAACUGCACUCGUCCGGAUAUAGCAUAUACAGUGAACAAGUUUAGUAGAUUCUCAAGUAAUCCAAAUAAUGACCAUUGGAAGGCAUUGACAAGGGUUCUUAGAUAUCUACGAUACGCCUCAAAUGUUGGAUUACAUUAUACAAGAUAUCCAACUGUAUUAGAAGGAUACAGUGAUGCUAAUUGGAUAUCAGAUACAAAAGACUCAAAAUUCACUAUUGGUUAUAUCUUUACCAUCGGUGUUGCGGCCGUAUCUUGGAAAUCAUCUAAACAAACGUGUAUAGCUCCAUCCACGAUGAAAUCAGAGUUCAUAGCUUUAGAUAAAGUUGGAGAAGAAGCGGAAUGGCUUCGUAAUUUUUUAGAGGAUAUUUCAUGUUAGCCUAAACAUGUGCCUGCGGUUAGUAUACAUUGUGAUAGUCAGUCGGCUAUCGGUAGAGUACAAAGUAGUAUGUAUAAUGGUAAGUCUCGACAUAUCCGUCGAAGACAUAAUACAAUUAAGCAGUUGAUCUCGAAUAGUGUCAUUUCCAUAGAUUAUGUAAAAUCUAGAGAGAAUCUCGCGGAUCCGCUCACAAAAGGUUUACCAAUAGAUCAAAUGUACUGUCUAUCAAGGGGAAUGGGCUUAAAACCUACUAAGUAAGGAUCUUUGUAAUGAUAACCCAACCUUACUGAUUGGAGAUCCCAAGAUCUUGGUUCAAUGAGACAACUAAGUCAUGAAGAUUCAAAAAGCACUUCAGAGUUUACUCCCACCCAUUCCUAUGAUAAGAGAAGUGUUAUCUGCAAAAAGUCUUAGGUUAAGAUAUGCUUUUAAUGAUUCAUAUAUCUUGAAUUAUCCAAGUGGAGUAUGACAGAUACUCUUAAUAUGAAAUCACCUAUAUAAGUGUGAAGUGUGGUUGCUUCCAUGAAAAUGUUUCAAGGGCUUGAAUUCUCUAAAGCACUUAUGAAAUUCAAGAGUUGUUUAGGGCCAAAAUGAACACGACAAUGAGAACUCAAAAAUAUUAGGGAGGUUAUUGUGUUGAUGCUAUUGUCUUGGUUUACAAUAACGGCUGACAGUUCAAGACAUCACGCUCAUCGAUUAGCCAAGUAAAUCCGAUAGUAAUAUUAUGGAUGGUUCAAACCCAUAAGGUACCUAUUCAGAUGCAAUAACUUUUCGCCUGAUCCCUCGUUAGGGUCUGCAUCAUCUAUUGCAUUAAUUUUUAUUUAUGUGGGAGAUUGUUAGAAAAUUGGAAUAAUUAGUUGGUUUGACCAACUUUUGACCAAUUAUUUAAGUGGGUCCCGUUAGUUUGAUAAAUGAUUUAUUUGGCAAACUGCAUUCUACUCCAUGAGUAGAAUUGAUAAAUGUAUUUAUUUCUCGAAACUAAUUAAGGGCGAAUGAGAAAUUCAAGUCAAAAGAUGACUACUUGAAAUUGAAAUAAAUUGGGAAUAAAAAUUGGUGGGUAAUUGGAAAGUGUCAAUCCCACAUAGGAAAAUUAGAAUAAUAGAAACCACUUUAUAUAAUUCAAGUUAAGAACUUGGGUUUGGACCCUAAGGGGUACCACUAGUCUUUAGAGGGGAGAAGACCUACAUGUUAGUAGAUUCAGCUAAAGCCCACAUGCGCGCCGCCGUCCGUCCGACUGGCCGCUCGACACGGGUUGUGGUCGUGGGCUUGGGCCAGUUGAUAUAUAUAUUUUUGGUAAAAUAAUUAAAUAAUAUAUUUUUAUUAUAUUAUUUAUUUUUUCUUCCUUGAAUUUUCUGUGCGAGACACGUGGAUUCUUCUAUAGACUAACGGUUGGUGACAGUUUUAUCUGCCUGUCCAAAUGGGUUAUAUCUGUUCCAAGACACAACAUUUUGGUUGUUGUGUCUUUUGGGCACAACCUUUCAACUUCUAUAAAUAGACCCCAGAUCCCCGAUUUUAUUCACUCCAGAAAUUUUAUUAUACUUCCCUUCUCCUGUAAUAUUGUCCUUCCAUCCUGCAAUAUUCCAUAUAUUUUUGCAUUUCAAUCCCAAAUAUUAUUUUAGUGCAUUUUAGUCCUCCGAUUCUCGAGAGAUCAAAUAUUAGUAGGUUCGUCGGGUCUUGUAAUUUGGAGUGAUGCUAUUACAAGUCGAGGUCGUUAUAUCUUGGAAGAUAAGUGCCAGGAGACCGUCAGCACCAGUGCGGGGAAUUUUCGUCUUAAGGAGGAAGAGUCAAACUCUUAACUCGACCAUUAUUCAUUCUAAUUUAUUGUGCUAAUAUUGUAAGUCGAAAUUUUGCCCGAAUAUUUACUCGCUAUUUGAAAUUACCGCACAACAUUCUCGAAGAUUUUCAACAUAAGUUGGAAACGCAAAAUGGGGCCAACCUAGCCCAUUGGUGGGCUUGACGUGAAGACAAUUGCGGGCAGUUUCUAGCAUGGAAGGGCUGAAAAUUUUGGAAAACUGACCUAGCAGUUGGGAGCUGUCAACUGCAGUCCGAAUUAAAUGUUGGUGCAUUGAAAUGACAUGGAACAGCGAAUAUAUGUGAUGAGGCUACAAUAACAUGUUGAUCCCUCACUUAUUUUUGUACUCUAAAGUCAUUUUCUUUGUUUUAUAAACAUGAAGUUGGAAAAGGUUGCUCAAAAAUAUGUGUUUUACUUUAUUAUUUCGAUAAUUCAAUUUUCUAUAAUCUUUACUUAGUUCAAUUUGUGUGUUUCGAGAUCUGAAAGUGUUAAAUUUGAUCGUCGGCUGGCUGGGGACGAGAAACCUGGAUGAUAUUGCAGGUUUGUUGGAAAAUCCCUAUGACACCCGGCAUUUUACGCCCUUCUUUAUCAUAGUGUUUCAAGAAUCGAAUGGUCGAAAUCGAUAAACUAAUGAAUCCCAGUCUGGUUUAGUGAAACCAUUGAAUCAAGUAACAUGGAAGCUGCCCAACCAAUCUGCCACAUUGGUUCCUAUUGUUAUAGAGCUUGUCAAAAAAGUGUUUAUAAAGGGUUUUGUUUAUAAUAGCUAGAAAUGCGUGAUAGAUAAAUGUUUAUAAAGGGUUUUGUUUUAAUAUCACAUAUUCUUGAAUAAGAAUUGGUUUAACCUUUUUUGCCAUUUGUAAACUGUUUAUUAAAACUUGCCAAAUAUAGCUAUAAUUUUCACAUAUUAUGUUUAUGGUAUGUGGUAAUAACAUUAAUGGCAGCAGCUAUCGGAGGAUUGAUCUUUGGAUACGAUUGAUCUUUGGAUACGAUAUUGGUAUAGGGAAAAUUACACCAGAACGGGUAUUUAAAGAUCUCAAUUCAAAAAUCACACAAAGUAUUUUUAAUCAAAAAUCAGGUGCCAAUUUAAUAUUUUAAUAUUAAUAAUUAUAUUACAAAUUCAACCACCACCAAAACAAUCACCCACCCAAUUUCAAACCCUAAAUCUAAUCCAUUCUCUCUUUCACUCUUCCUUUUUCUCGUCAAAUCUCUCACUCUCCCUCUCCCUCUCCCUCUCCCUAAAGAUAAAUGAAUCUCCUCUCUCACUCCCCCUCUCCUCAGCGAGAUCCUUAAGUGGCAGCACUGUGCUCGAAUCUGCACUCCAGUUGUAGUAUGCUGCUACGGUGCUGUACGCACUUCUCGAUGACUAUAGCGACGAUACAUUUUUUACCCAUUUUUCUCUUCAAUGGAGGUUGAAGGCUGGCAGCAAACUGAGUACCGUCGUGCGCAGUACCAAAUCGUCGCUCCGCCUCGACCAACAGGCACAACAGCGAUCUUAUUUUGGUGGUGAGUGGUGAAUUACCUACACUCCCAAUAGCAGUUUUUUUAAUGUUUGUGGUUGAAAGCCGAUAAAGUUUAUGGUUUGUAUAUAGUUUGUGGGUUGUGAUUUGAAGUGGUGGAGGUAGUGCCACCAAUGAAUUUGGAGUUAUUUUUUAGAAUCUGAGGCGUACCAAUGGUUUUGUUAGAUCUAGUGGUGGCUGUAUUUGUUUUGUGUCAAUGGUAGAGAUGGAUCUGACAAUUGGGGUGGUUUUUGUUGAAUUUGGCGGUGGAUCUGGUAGUGGUUGGUUGACUGUGGCAGUGGUGUUUGUAGUUGAAAAUGAUGUUUUGUUUGUGGUUGUGGUGGUGAGUUGAAAAUGGAAGUUUGCUGAGGACGAUGACGGUGGUGGUAAGGUGGCAUUACUGUUGUACCCAAUUCACCGACAAAAGUAAAAUAAAUGAAAUGACCGGUGAUUGUCUUGGUUGUUGAGGCUGUGUCUGUGUUGCUAGAAGUGGGAUUGUAUUGGUAAUGGUGGCAAUAGGCUGUGAUGGUUGUGGUCUUCUUGAAUGGCUGUGAUGGUAGUGGUAUGUGAUGAGUUAUUUGGUGUAUGUGACCAAGUAUUCUAUUUUUUUGACCAAAUAUUGUGGUAGAUCGGGAUAAGAUGUUUGGUGUCUGUGACCAACUAUCUGGUCCCUGUGAUUAAUUAUUAAUUUGUGACCUUGAAAUUCGAUGGUGUGGUGCAAGCGGCAAUUGUGCGGUGGUGAUUUAUGAUCAAGAUUGGUGCUGGAUCGGGAUCGGUGGUGAUGGUAUUUGGUGCAUGUGACCAACUAUUUAGAAUAUAUGACCAAUAAAUUUGAACAUAUGUUACCUUGUGACUUGUAAUUUUUUUGGAUAUGUGAUCAAUGAAAUAAUUUGUGACUUGUAAAUUUUUUAUCUGUGACCUCGAAAUAAUGUGGCCUACAAAAUUUUUGAUUUGUGACCUCGAAAUAAUCUGUAACCAACUAAUUCGAUGAUAUAUGACCAAUAAGUAAAUCUGUGACCAUUAAUCGUGUAACUGUGACUUUAUUAUAUUUAAUUAAUAAUAUUUUCAAUUAAUUAUACAGAAACCUGAAUUUUGAAUUUUUAAACUUUGUACUUGAUUUGUGAAUUGGUGCAAACAAUACACAUGACAUAUGAAUUUUUCCCAUUGGUAUAUCAGGUGUUGAGACCAAAUAAAAGUGCGCCACAUUCUUGGCCCCUUUAAAGCUAUUGGGCCGGAUUUAUUGAAAUGGUCUUGGUCCAUUUACUAAGAGAAGUGCGAUCUCUUGAAAUGCAAUUUCUACCCUUCUUGAAGAUAUGAUCUGGCCAUUUCCUUAACGUUGAUCAAUGACCAUUAACUUACCUGAUUAAAACGUUUUGGACGCCUCAUUUUCUUCCAGAGAGAUCUAUUCUGAGUGUGUAUUCUAGGGUUUCUCUUUUCUCUCACACCACCGAUAUUUUCUGAGUGAAAAUCUCUUCUGUAAAUCUGAGUGAUUUUGAUACUACAGUUGAUGUAUAAUUGUGAUACUACUUCGUGCGAGUUUGUGGUGGUGUUGUGAUAGUUUUUUGUGAGGCAAGAUCAAAAACAGUGAAGAAACUUUGUGUUUCUUCGUACAUUUGUAACAUUCUUGGUUAAUUUUCUGGUAGAUCUAGAGCUAAAUCUACUUAGUAGAUGCUCAACGUGGUGAGUAGGCCGUAAGGUUGAACAUCCGAGCCUUUGUGGCGAAAAAAUCCUUCGUGUUCAAUUUCUUUUUUUCAGUGAAUCUUGCGAUAAUCUGUAUUCAUUUAACCUCUUGAGAACUUAUAUCAGGUAUAAAAUUUAGCCUUGUAAUUCUUUUUCAUGGUUGUGAUUAUUCAAGAAGACUUCUGGUUGAAGUUUCUUGGUUUUCUUGAUGCAGGUGGAUUUACUUCCAUGGCGCCUUUUCUGAAGAAAUUAUUUCCGUCUAUCUAUCAUAAACAGAUGGAUGAUACAUCAACUAAUCAAUACUGCAAGUUUGACAGCCGGAUUUUGACACUUUUUACGUCAUCCCUCUAUUUGGCUGCCCUUGUAGCGUCCUUUUUUGGAUCAACAAUGACCAAGAAAUUUGGCGGGAGAAAGUCGAUGAUGCUUGGUGGAAUAAUUUUCUUGGUUGGUGCCAUAAUCAAC